GCCGUCCUCCCCAACAAGAUCCUGGUGCUGAGUGAUGACUCGCAACUCCAGCAUCAGUGAUUUUGUUGAAGAGGGCAGCCU
Molecule: microRNA precursor, 81 nt
Filed under: Eptesicus fuscus (big brown bat)
Lineage: Eukaryota; Metazoa; Chordata; Mammalia; Chiroptera; Vespertilionidae
Description: microRNA efu-mir-338 precursor
Gene: efu-mir-338
Rfam family: mir-338 microRNA precursor family (bases 8-72)
Source: miRBase by way of RNAcentral